This 73-nucleotide transfer RNA is filed under the name Zea mays. It matches the Rfam family "tRNA". From Rfam's summary of the family: Transfer RNA (tRNA) molecules are approximately 80 nucleotides in length. Their secondary structure includes four short double-helical elements and three loops (D, anti-codon, and T loops). Lineage: Eukaryota; Viridiplantae; Streptophyta; Magnoliopsida; Poales; Poaceae. The record is from Rfam by way of RNAcentral.
GCCUAUCUAGCUUAGUUGGUACAUUGCAAGGCUCUUAAUCUUGUAGUUGUGGGUUCGAGCCUCAUGGUGGGCA